CUUGUGACGGCGUACCUUUUGUAUAAUGGGUCAUCGACUUAGUGUAUCUAGCAAGCUUAAGCCGUUAGGUGUAGGCGCAGCGAAAGCGAGUCUUAAUAGGGCGACUGAGUUAGAUGCAUUAGACCCGAAACCGAGUGAUCUAGGCAUGACCAGGAUGAAGGUAAGGUAACACUUACUGGAGGUCCGAACCCACACCUGUUGAAAAAGGUCGGGAUGAGUUGUGCCUAGGGGUGAAAGGCCAAUCAAACUCGGAGAUAGCUGGUUCUCUGCGAAAUCUAUUUAGGUAGAGCGUCAUCCGAAUACCCCGGGGGGUAGAGCACUGGAUGGGUAAUGGGGCCCCACAGGCUUACUGAUCCUAACCAAACUCCGAAUACCCGGGAGUACUAGAUGGCAGACACACUGCGGAUGCUAACGUCCGUAGUGGAGAGGGAAACAACCCUGACCUACAGCUAAGGCCCCCAAUUCAUGGCUAAGUGGGAAAGCAGGUGGGACGACCAAAACAACCAGGAGGUUGGCUUAGAAGCAGCCAUCCUUUAAAGAUAGCGUAACAGCUCACUGGUCUAAACAAGUUGUCCUGCGGCGAAGAUGUAACGGGGCUCAAGCCAUGAGCCGAAGCUUAGGAUGCCGUAAGGCAUGGUAGCAGAGCGUAGUGUGACAUAGGACCUCUCCUCUUUAGCGAUCUUCGGAUCGCCUUGGAGGAACGGGUUCUUUCUGUGAAGCCGGCGCGUGAGCGAUCCGGUGGAGAGAUCACUAGCGAGAAUGAUGACAUGAGUAGCGACAAAGAGUGUGAGAGACACUCUCGCCGAAAGUCCAAGGGUUCCUGCUUAAAGCUAAUCUGAGCAGGGUAAGCCGGCCCCUAAGGCGAGGCAGAAAUGCGUAGCCGAUGGGAACCACGUUAAUAUUCGUGGGCCAGGAGGAUGUGACGGAUCAAGAGGGUAGUUCAUUCUUAUCGGAUUGAAUGGGCUGCUUAUUGGUCCCUGGAAAUAGCCCUCCAUCAGACCGUACCCUAAACCGACACAGGUGGACUGGUAGAGAAUACCAAGGCGCUUGAGAGAACGAUGUUGAAGGAACUCGGCAAAAUACCUCCGUAAGUUCGCGAGAAGGAGGCCCGGUUCCUAGGCAACUAGGGGCUGGGGGCACAAACCAGGGGGUGGCGACUGUUUACUAAAAACACAGGGCUCUGCGAAGUCGCAAGACGACGUAUAGGGUCUGACGCCUGCCCGGUGCCUGAAGGUUAAAAGGAGAGGUGAGAGCCUUGAAUUGAAGCCCAGGUAAACGGCGGCCGUAACUAUAACGGUCCUAAGGUAGCGAAAUUCCUUGUCGGGUAAGUUCCGACCUGCACGAAUGGCGUAACGACUUCCCCGCUGUCUCCAACAUCGACUCAGCGAAAUUGAAUUGCCUGUCAAGAUGCAGGCUUCCCGCGGUUAGACGGAAAGACCCCGUGCACCUUUACUACAGCUUCGCACUGGCAUCAGGACUGCAAUGUGCAGGAUAGGUGGUGGGCUUUGAAGCGCGAACGCCAGUUUGCGUGGAGCCUCCCUUGAGAUACCACCCUUUGCAUUCUUGAUGUCUAACCGCGGUCCGUUAUCCGGAUCCGGGACCCUGCGUGGCGGGUAGUUUGACUGGGGCGGUCGCCUCCUAAAGAGUAACGGAGGCGCGCGAUGGUUGGCUCAGACCGGUCGGAAAUCGGUCGUUGAGUGCAAUGGCAGAAGCCAGCCUGACUGCAAGUCUGACAAGACGAGCAGAGACGAAAGUCGGUCAUAGUGAUCCGGUGGUCCCGAGUGGAAGGGCCAUCGCUCAACGGAUAAAAGGUACGCCGGGGAUAACAGGCUGAUACUGCCCAAGAGUCCAUAUCGACGGCAGUGUUUGGCACCUCGAUGUCGGCUCAUCUCAUCCUGGGGCUGGAGCAGGUCCCAAGGGUACGGCUGUUCGCCGUUUAAAGAGGUACGUGAGCUGGGUUUAGAACGUCGUGAGACAGUUCGGUCCCUAUCUGCCGUGGGUGUAGGAUACUUGAGAGGAGUUGCCCCUAGUACGAGAGGACCGGGGUGAACGAUCCACUGGUGGACCUGUUGUUGCGCCAGCAGCAGUGCAGGGUAGCUAUGAUCGGACAGGAUAACCGCUGAAGGCAUCUAAGCGGGAAGCCCCCCUCAAAACAAGGUAUCCCUGAGGACCGUGGUAGACCACCACGUCGAUAGGCCGGAGAUGUAAGUGCAGUAAUGCAUUCAGUUGACCGGUACUAAUGGUCCGAUAGGCUUGAU
Molecule: ribosomal RNA, 2258 nt
Filed under: Marinovum algicola
Lineage: Bacteria; Pseudomonadati; Pseudomonadota; Alphaproteobacteria; Rhodobacterales; Roseobacteraceae
Description: bacterial LSU rRNA
Rfam family: Bacterial large subunit ribosomal RNA
Source: RNAcentral